RNAcentral lists this ribosomal RNA (328 nucleotides) under uncultured Pseudomonadota bacterium. RNAcentral's name for it is "bacterial SSU rRNA". It matches the Rfam family "Bacterial small subunit ribosomal RNA", at positions 568 to 898 of the family's 1533-position model. The record is from RNAcentral. Lineage: Bacteria; Pseudomonadati; Pseudomonadota.
CGCGUAGGCGGAAUGGUAAGUCAGAGGUGAAAUUCUUGCGCUUAACGCAGGAACUGCCUUUGAUACUGCUAUUCUUGAGUAUGGAAGAGGGAAGUGGAAUUCCCGGUGUAGCGGUGAAAUGCGUAGAUAUCGGGAAGAACACCGGUAGCGUAAGCGGCUUCCUGGUCCAUUACUGACGCUGAGGCGCGAAAGUGUGGGGAGCAAACAGGAUUAGAUACCCUGGUAGUCCACACUGUAAACGAUGGGCACUAGAUGUUGGACCGCAAGGUUCAGUGUCGUAGCUAACGCAUUAAGUGCCCCGCCUGGGAAGUACGGCCGCAAGGUUGAA